This 266-nucleotide non-coding RNA is filed under the name Alteromonas confluentis. RNAcentral describes it as "Bacterial small subunit ribosomal RNA". It matches the Rfam family "Bacterial small subunit ribosomal RNA", at positions 1 to 271 of the family's 1533-position model. The record is from Rfam by way of RNAcentral. Lineage: Bacteria; Pseudomonadati; Pseudomonadota; Gammaproteobacteria; Alteromonadales; Alteromonadaceae.
UAAUUGAAGAGUUUGAUCAUGGCUCAGAUUGAACGCUGGCGGCAGGCCUAACACAUGCAAGUCGAACGGUAGCAGGAUGUGCUUGCACAUCGCUGACGAGUGGCGGACGGGUGAGUAAUGCUUGGGAACUUGCCUUUGCGAGGGGGAUAACAGUUGGAAACGACUGCUAAUACCGCAUAAUGUCUACGGACCAAACGGGGCUUCGGCUCCGGCGCAAAGAGAGGCCCAAGUGAGAUUAGCUAGUUGGUGAGGUAAAGGCUCACCAA